This 494-nucleotide ribosomal RNA is filed under the name uncultured bacterium. Its description in RNAcentral is "partial 16S ribosomal RNA". It matches the Rfam family "Bacterial small subunit ribosomal RNA", at positions 28 to 507 of the family's 1533-position model. The record is from RNAcentral.
GACGAACGCUGGCGGCGUGCUUAACACAUGCAAGUCGAACGGUGAAGCGCCUUCCUUUUUGGUGGGUGUGGAUGAGUGGCGAACGGGUGAGUAACACGUGAGUAACCUGCCCCCUUCUUCUGGAUAACCGCAUGAAAGUGUGGCUAAUACGGGAUAUUCUGGGUCUGUCGCAUGAUGGGUCUGGGAAAGAUAUUGUUUCGGUGGGGGAUGGGCUCGCGGCCUAUCAGCUUGUUGGUGGGGUGAUGGCCUACCAAGGCGGUGACGGGUAGCCGGCCUGAGAGGGUGGACGGUCACACUGGGACUGAGACACGGCCCAGACUCCUACGAGAGGCAGCAGUGGGGAAUAUUGCACAAUGGGCGAAAGCCUGAUGCAGCGACGCCGCGUGAGGGAUGGAGGCCUUCGGGUUGUGAACCUCUUUCGCCAGUGAAGCAGGCCUGCCUCGUUUGUGGGUGGGUUGACGGUAGCUGGAUAAGAAGCGCCGGCUAACUACGUG